AGCUGAUGUGCUGAGUGAAGAAGCGAUACUGAAAUGGUACAAAGAAGCGCAUGUUGCCAAAGGCAAAAGUGUUUUUCUUGACCAGAUGAAGAAAUUUGUUGAGUGGUUACAAAACGCAGAAGAAGAAUCUGAAUCUGAAGGUGAAGAAAAUUAGAGGGCUCAAGAAGCACAAUACCUAGGUCACCACACAACACUCUUACUGGGAAUGCUGAACCAUUUGAGAAGAGAAACUUGGCUUCUGUUUUCACAAAGGAAAAAAAAAAUAGGUUAGGCUUCCCUUGUGCAGAGGGGGAAAUGGUUUUUGUUUUUGUUUUGUUUUUAAAUGGAGCCCUGAGGCAUCAGCUAUUAUACUUGGGACUCUACCUCUCAUUCACUAUAUGCUAACUUAAAGCCAUUCAACAGGGAGUCCAGUAGGUGUCUGAAAUUAAAUACUCCACAGACUCCUCCUCUUUUUUAGCUGUAUUUUUCAGGUACUGUGUGGUGAAUGCCCCACUGGUGUCUAUUACAGGGCCACUUUGGUAGUUGUGUAUCUGCUCGUGUAUGUGAUUUGACAAACAGUUUUUUAAAAUAAAUGGCUUUUUA
Lipotes vexillifer (Yangtze River dolphin) is the source of this 582-nucleotide long non-coding RNA. RefSeq lists it as uncharacterized. Lineage: Eukaryota; Metazoa; Chordata; Mammalia; Artiodactyla; Lipotidae. The transcript is spliced from 2 exons. The record is from RefSeq and is a predicted model, not a curated record.